RNAcentral lists this ribosomal RNA (725 nucleotides) under Mycobacterium sp. YC6902. RNAcentral's name for it is "bacterial SSU rRNA". It matches the Rfam family "Bacterial small subunit ribosomal RNA", at positions 85 to 823 of the family's 1533-position model. The record is from RNAcentral. Lineage: Bacteria; Bacillati; Actinomycetota; Actinomycetes; Mycobacteriales; Mycobacteriaceae.
GGCUACUCGAGUGGCGAACGGGUGAGUAACACGGGGUUGAUCUGCCCUGCACUUUGGGAUAAGCCUGGGAAACUGGGUCUAAUACCGAAUAUGAUCAUGCGCCUCCUGGUGUGUGGUGGAAAGCUUUUGCGGUGUGGGAUGGGCCCGCGGCCUAUCAGCUUGUUGGUGGGGUAAUGGCCUACCAAGGCGACGACGGGUAGCCGGCCUGAGAGGGUGACCGGCCACACUGGGACUGAGAUACGGCCCAGACUCCUACGGGAGGCAGCAGUGGGGAAUAUUGCACAAUGGGCGCAAGCCUGAUGCAGCGACGCCGCGUGAGGGAUGACGGCCUUCGGGUUGUAAACCUCUUUCAGCACAGACGAAGCGCAAGUGACGGUAUGUGCAGAAGAAGGACCGGCCAACUACGUGCCAGCAGCCGCGGUAAUACGUAGGGUCCGAGCGUUGUCCGGAAUUACUGGGCGUAAAGAGCUCGUAGGUGGUUUGUCGCGUUGUUCGUGAAAACUCACAGCUUAACUGUGGGCGUGCGGGCGAUACGGGCAGACUUGAGUACUGCAGGGGAGACUGGAAUUCCUGGUGUAGCGGUGGAAUGCGCAGAUAUCAGGAGGAACACCGGUGGCGAAGGCGGGUCUCUGGGCAGUAACUGACGCUGAGGAGCGAAAGCGUGGGGAGCGAACAGGAUUAGAUACCCCUGGUAGUCCACGCCGUAAACGGUGGGUACUAGGUGU